Molecule: small nuclear RNA, 105 nt
Organism: Microtus ochrogaster (prairie vole)
Lineage: Eukaryota; Metazoa; Chordata; Mammalia; Rodentia; Cricetidae
Source: Ensembl
GUGCUCGCUUCAGAAGCACAGAAACUAAACUUGGAAUGAUAGAGAAUAUUAGCAUGGCCUCUGUGCAAGGAUGACACGAAAAGGGGGGGGGGACUACUUGAUCUG